CAGCCGCCGCGGGAAUACGUAGGUGGCAAGCGUUGUCCGGAAUUAUUGGGCGUAAAGGGCUCGCAGGCGGUUUCUUAAGUCUGAUGUAAAGCCCCCGGCUCAACCGGGGAGGGUCAUUGGAAACUGGGAAACUUGAGUGCAGAAGAGGAGAGUGGAAUUCCACGUGUAGCGGUGAAAUGCGUAGAGAUGUGGAGGAACACCAGUGGCGAAGGCGACUCUCUGGUCUGUAACUGACGCUGAGGAGCGAAAGCGUGGGGAGCGAACAGGAUUAGAUACCCCCGUAGUCCCUGUCUCUUAUACA
RNAcentral lists this ribosomal RNA (301 nucleotides) under uncultured bacterium. RNAcentral's name for it is "partial 16S ribosomal RNA". It matches the Rfam family "Bacterial small subunit ribosomal RNA", at positions 509 to 808 of the family's 1533-position model. The record is from RNAcentral.